GUGAACGCUGGCGGUAGGCCUAACACAUGCAAGUCGCACGGCAGCACAGUAAGAGCUUGCUCUUACGGGUGGCGAGUGGCGGACGGGUGAGGAAUACAUCGGAAUCUACUUUUUCGUGGGGGAUAACGUAGGGAAACUUACGCUAAUACCGCAUACGACCUACGGGUGAAAGCAGGGGAUCUUCGGACCUUGCGCGAUUGAAUGAGCCGAUGUCGGAUUAGCUAGUUGGCGGGGUAAAGGCCCACCAAGGCGACGAUCCGUAGCUGGUCUGAGAGGAUGAUCAGCCACACUGGAACUGAGACACGGUCCAGACUCCUACGGGAGGCAGCAGUGUGGAAUAUUGGACAAUGGGCGCAAGCCUGAUCCAGCCAUACCGCGUGGGUGAAGAAGGCCUUCGGGUUGUAAAGCCCUUUUGUUGGGAAAGAAAAGCAGCAGGUUAAUACCCCGCUGUUCUGACGGUACCCAAAGAAUAAGCACCGGCUAACUUCGUG
This 491-nucleotide ribosomal RNA is filed under the name uncultured bacterium. RNAcentral describes it as "partial 16S ribosomal RNA". It matches the Rfam family "Bacterial small subunit ribosomal RNA", at positions 29 to 507 of the family's 1533-position model. The record is from RNAcentral.